This 235-nucleotide ribosomal RNA is filed under the name uncultured bacterium. Its description in RNAcentral is "partial 16S ribosomal RNA". It matches the Rfam family "Bacterial small subunit ribosomal RNA", at positions 101 to 334 of the family's 1533-position model. The record is from RNAcentral.
AAACGGGUGCGGAACACGUACGCAACCUUCCUUUAACUGGAGAAUAGCCCCUCGAAAGAGGGAUUAAUACUCCGUAACAUAUUUGAUAAGGCAUCUUAUUAAUAUUAUAGCUCCGGCGGUUAAAGAUGGGCGUGCGCCUGAUUAGAUAGUUGGCGGGGUAACGGCCCACCAAGUCUGCGAUCAGUAACUGGUGUGAGAGCACGACCAGUCACACGGGCACUGAGACACGGGCCCG